GACGAGCGCUGGCGGCGUGCUUAACACAUGCAAGUCGAACGGAAAGGCCCUGCUUUUGUGGGGUGCUCGAGUGGCGAACGGGUGAGUAACACGUGAGUAACCUGCCCUUGACUUUGGGAUAACUUCAGGAAACUGGGGCUAAUACCGGAUAGGAGCUCCUGCUGCAUGGUGGGGGUUGGAAAGUUUCGGCGGUUGGGGAUGGACUCGCGGCUUAUCAGCUUGUUGGUGGGGUAGUGGCUUACCAAGGCUUUGACGGGUAGCCGGCCUGAGAGGGUGACCGGCCUCAUUGGGACUGAGAUACGGCCCAGACUCCUACGGGAGGCAGCGGUGGGGAAUAUUGCACAAUGGGCGGAAGCCUGAUGCAGCAACGCCGCGUGCGGGAUGACGGCCUUCGGGUUGUAAACCGCUUUCGCCUGUGACGAAGCGUGAGUGACGGUAAUGGGUAAAGAAGCACCGGCUAACUACGUG
This 468-nucleotide ribosomal RNA is filed under the name uncultured bacterium. RNAcentral's name for it is "partial 16S ribosomal RNA". It matches the Rfam family "Bacterial small subunit ribosomal RNA", at positions 28 to 507 of the family's 1533-position model. The record is from RNAcentral.